Molecule: ribosomal RNA, 497 nt
Filed under: uncultured bacterium
Lineage: Bacteria
Description: partial 16S ribosomal RNA
Rfam family: Bacterial small subunit ribosomal RNA
Source: RNAcentral
GAUGAACGCUGGCGGCGUGCCUAAUACAUGCAAGUCGAGCGAACAGACGAGGAGCUUGCUCCUCUGACGUUAGCGGCGGACGGGUGAGUAACACGUGGAUAACCUACCUAUAAGACUGGGAUAACUUCGGGAAACCGGAGCUAAUACCGGAUAAUAUAUUGAACCGCAUGGUUCAAUAGUGAAAGACGGUUUUGCUGUCACUUAUAGAUGGAUCCGCGCCGCAUUAGCUAGUUGGUAAGGUAACGGCUUACCAAGGCAACGAUGCGUAACAGACCUGAGAGGGUGAUCGGCAACCCUGGAACUGAGACACGGUCCAGCUUCCUAGGGGAGGCAGCGGUGGGGAAUCUUGCGCAAUGGGCGAAAGCCUGACGGAGCAACGCCGCGUGGGUGAUGAAGGUCUUCGGAUCGUAAGACUCUUUUAUUGGGGAAGAACGAAUGUGUAAGUGACUAUGCACGUCUUGACGGUACCUAAUCAGAAAGCCACGGCUAACUACGUG